CGGCGAGUGGCGAACGGGUGAGUAAUACAUCCGAACGUGUCCUGUAGUGGGGGAUAGCCCGGCGAAAGCCGGAUUAAUACCGCAUACGAUCUACGGAUGAAAGCGGGGGAUCGCAAGACCUCGCGCUAUAGGGGCGGCCGAUGGCGGAUUAGCUAGUUGGUGGGGUAAAGGCCCACCAAGGCGACGAUCCGUAGCUGGUCUGAGAGGACGACCAGCCACACUGGGACUGAGACACGGCCCAGACUCCUACGGGAGGCAGCAGUGGGGAAUUUUGGACAAUGGGCGCAAGCCUGAUCCAGCAAUGCCGCGUGUGUGAAGAAGGCCUUCGGGUUGUAAAGCACUUUUGUCCGGAAAGAAAUCCUCUGGGUUAAUACCCCGGGGGGAUGACGGUACCGGAAGAAUAAGCACCGGCUAACUACGUGCCAGCAGCCGCGGUAAUACGUAGGGUGCGAGCGUUAAUCGGAAUUACUGGGCGUAAAGCGUGCGCAGGCGGUGAUGUAAGACCGAUGUGAAAUCCCCGGGCUUAACCUGGGAACUGCAUUGGUGACUGCAUCGCUGGAGUAUGGCAGAGGGGGGUAGAAUUCACGUGUAGCAGUGAAAUGCGUAGAGAUGUGGAGGAAUACCGAUGGCGAAGGCAGCCC
This 641-nucleotide ribosomal RNA is filed under the name Burkholderia sp. Ms225. Its description in RNAcentral is "bacterial SSU rRNA". It matches the Rfam family "Bacterial small subunit ribosomal RNA", at positions 89 to 727 of the family's 1533-position model. The record is from RNAcentral. Lineage: Bacteria; Pseudomonadati; Pseudomonadota; Betaproteobacteria; Burkholderiales; Burkholderiaceae.